GAUGAACGCUGGCGGCGUGCCUAAUACAUGCAAGUCGAGCGAACAGAUAAGGAGCUUGCUCCUUUGACGUUAGCGGCGGACGGGUGAGUAACACGUGGGUAACCUACCUAUAAGACUGGAAUAACUCCGGGAAACCGGGGCUAAUGCCGGAUAAUAUUUAGAACCGCAUGGUUCUAAAGUGAAAGAUGGUUUUACUAUCACUUAUAGAUGGACCCGCGCCGUAUUAGCUAGUUGGUAAGGUAACGGCUUACCAAGGCAACGAUGCGUAGCCGACCUGAGAGGGUGAUCGGCCACACUGGAACUGAGACACGGUCCAGACUCCUACGGGAGGCAGCAGUAGGGAAUCUUCCGCAAUGGGCGAAAGCCUGACGGAGCAACGCCGCGUGAGUGAUGAAGGUCUUCGGAUCGUAAAACUCUGUUAUUAGGGAAGAACAAAUGUGUAAGUAACUGUGCACGUCUUGACGGUACCUAAUCAGAAAGCCACGGCUAACUACGUG
This 497-nucleotide ribosomal RNA is filed under the name uncultured bacterium. RNAcentral's name for it is "partial 16S ribosomal RNA". It matches the Rfam family "Bacterial small subunit ribosomal RNA", at positions 28 to 507 of the family's 1533-position model. The record is from RNAcentral.